AGAGUUUGAUCCUGGCUCAGAAUCAACGCUGGCGGCGUGCCUCAGACAUGCAAGUCGAACGCGAAAGUUUCCUUCGGGGAGCAAGUAGAGUGGCGCACGGGUGAGUAACACGUGGGUAACGUGCCCCAAUGACUGGGACAACCCGGGGAAACCCGGGCUAAUACCGGAUGUGCUCCUUCCACAUCAGUGGAUUGAGUAAAGGUAGCUUCGGCUUCCGCAUUGGGAUCGGCCCGCGGCGCAUUAGCUUGUUGGUGAGGUAACGGCUCACCAAGGCUUCGAUGCGUAGCUGGUCUGAGAGGACGAUCAGCCACACUGGGACUGAGACACGGCCCAGACUCCUACGGGAGGCAGCAGUGGGGAAUCUUGCGCAAUGCGCGAAAGCGUGACGCAGCAACGCCGCGUGGGGGAAGAAGGCCUUCGGGUUGUAAACCCCUUUCAGGAGGGACGAAGCCUGGCUGGUGAAUAGCCAGUCCAGGUGACGGUACCUCCACAAGAAGCCCCGGCUAACUACGUGCCAGCAGCGGCGGUAAUAC
This 533-nucleotide ribosomal RNA is filed under the name uncultured bacterium. RNAcentral's name for it is "bacterial SSU rRNA". It matches the Rfam family "Bacterial small subunit ribosomal RNA", at positions 8 to 526 of the family's 1533-position model. The record is from RNAcentral.